GCACGAAGGUUUCGGCCUUAGUGGCGGACGGGUGAGUAACGCGUAGGUAUCUAUCCAUGGGUGGGGGAUAACACUGGGAAACUGGUGCUAAUACCGCAUGACACCUGAGGGUCAAAGGCGUAAGUCGCCUGUGGAGGAGCCUGCGUUUGAUUAGCUAGUUGGUGGGGUAAAGGCCUACCAAGGCGAUGAUCAAUAGCUGGUUUGAGAGGAUGAUCAGCCACACUGGGACUGAGACACGGCCCAGACUCCUACGGGAGGCAGCAGUGGGGAAUAUUGGACAAUGGGGGCAACCCUGAUCCAGCAAUGCCGCGUGUGUGAAGAAGGUCUUCGGAUUGUAAAGCACUUUCGACGGGGACGAUGAUGACGGUACCCGUAGAAGAAGCCCCGGCUAACUUCGUGCCAGCAGCCGCGGUAAUACGAAGGGGGCUAGCGUUGCUCGGAAUGACUGGGCGUAAAGGGCGUGUAGGCGGUUUGUACAGUCAGAUGUGAAAUCCCCGGGCUUAACCUGGGAGCUGCAUUUGAUACGUGCAAACUA
Molecule: ribosomal RNA, 535 nt
Filed under: Acetobacter pomorum
Lineage: Bacteria; Pseudomonadati; Pseudomonadota; Alphaproteobacteria; Acetobacterales; Acetobacteraceae
Description: bacterial SSU rRNA
Rfam family: Bacterial small subunit ribosomal RNA
Source: RNAcentral